RNAcentral lists this transfer RNA (75 nucleotides) under Desulfuromonadales bacterium GWD2_54_10. RNAcentral describes it as "tRNA-Thr". It matches the Rfam family "tRNA". From Rfam's summary of the family: Transfer RNA (tRNA) molecules are approximately 80 nucleotides in length. Their secondary structure includes four short double-helical elements and three loops (D, anti-codon, and T loops). The record is from RNAcentral. Lineage: Bacteria; Pseudomonadati; Thermodesulfobacteriota; Desulfuromonadia; Desulfuromonadales.
GCCGUUGUGGCUCAGGGGUAGAGCAGCUCACUUGUAAUGAGCAGGUCGGGAGUUCGAAUCUCCCCAACGGCUCCA